GAUGAACGCUGGCGGCGUGCCUAAUACAUGCAAGUCGAGCGAACAGACGAGGAGCUUGCUCCUCUGACGUUAGCGGCGGACGGGUGAGUAACACGUGGAUAACCUACCUAUAAGACUGGGAUAACUUCGGGAAACCGGAGCUAAUACCGGAUAAUAUAUUGAACCGCAUGGUUCAAUAGUGAAAGACGGUUUUGCUGUCACUUAUAGAUGGAUCCGCGCCGCAUUAGCUAGUUGGUAAGGUAACGGCUUACCAAGGCGACGAUGCGUAGCCGACCUGAGAGGGUGAUCGGCCACACUGGAACUGAGACACGGUCCAGACUCCUACGGGAGGCAGCAGUAGGGAAUCUUCCGCAAUGGGCGAAAGCCUGACGGAGCAACGCCGCGUGAGAGAUGAAGGUCUUCGGAUCGUAAAACUCUGUUAUUAGGGAAGAACAAAUGUGUAAGUAACUAUGCACGUCUUGACGGUACCUAAUCAGAAAGCUACGGCUAACUACGUG
This 497-nucleotide ribosomal RNA is filed under the name uncultured bacterium. RNAcentral's name for it is "partial 16S ribosomal RNA". It matches the Rfam family "Bacterial small subunit ribosomal RNA", at positions 28 to 507 of the family's 1533-position model. The record is from RNAcentral.